GGUUGUGUAGUGUAGUGGUUAUCACUGUAGGUUCUCGUUGAAGCGCUCUGGCAUUCAUCACGUACUGACUUCCAUCGAGCCGGAUUUUGAUCACUUGCUAUCAAAUGUCUUCCGGCAACCCCGGUUCGAGCCCGGGCACGACCU
Molecule: transfer RNA, 144 nt
Filed under: Colletotrichum graminicola M1.001
Lineage: Eukaryota; Fungi; Ascomycota; Sordariomycetes; Glomerellales; Glomerellaceae
Description: tRNA-Glu for anticodon CUC
Source: RNAcentral